AUUAUAAUACUAUUUUUCCUUUUGUUUUCCUCAUUCUUGAAAAAAAGUGUUUCUUACUGUUAUGUUAUACCUAACAUCUACCCAGUUCAUAGUAUUUGGUGUUAUUCAAAAAUUAACAAUUGCUGAAUGAAUGAAUAAAUGAAUGAGUAAAUGAAUGAAUAAAUGAUUCAUACUAAUCAUGUUCUCAAAUUAAGUAUUUAGCGUCACCCAGAGCUAAAUUGAUAUUUGAUUCUGGAAUCUUGAGGAAGUUGACGUAUAGAACAACUUUGAUUUCCAGAUAUCCUACAUUUGAAAUGAACAAUAUGAUUAUCAAAAUCAUUAAUUUUUUUCAGUUUUGGUAGUAAUAAUUAAUAUUAAAUAACAAAGUAGUCAUGUAUUUACUUAAACAUUUUGUUAUAAUUAGAAAAUCUGAUGUAGACAUAUAUUUUUGUGACUAAAGUUACAAAAUACAUAAGCAGUCUAAAUAUCUGAUACAUGCAUAUGGUGAAAAGUUCUUGAACACAUUUUGAUUCCAAUACAAUCCCAUCAAGGUUGCAUAUACCAAUGCCAUCUCACUCUAGUCCAAGUGAUCAAUUUCAGUUCACAACUGAUCAUAAUGAUAGGAAUAAGAGUCAAAGGGAUCACACAAACAAGAUUAGUGUCUGCUAAUACUAACUGAUAGAAUAAAAAAGGGAGAUAAUGAUCCAACAUGGGAGGUGGGAUACACAGCAGACUCAUAGAAUGGCAGAUGUCCUAAAUAGCACUCUGGCCUCAGAAUCAGCCCUCAAGGCAUUCGGAUCUGGCUGAAGAGUCCAUGAGAGUAUUGUAGGCAUGGAAAGCCAAGACACUCUGGCAAAAAAACAAAAAAACAAAACAAAAAAAAAAAACAAACAACCAACCAGACAGACCAAUAUGAAAGAUCUCUGCGAGUGACAUCCCAGUGGAAAGAACAGGCCAUCAAAGAAGGAAGUACCUUUCUCUGAAGGGAGGAGAGAACUUCCACUUUGACUAUGACCUUGUCUAAAUAAGAUCGAAGCUGGCGAACUCAAAAGACUUCCAUAGCCUUGGCAACUCAUGACUAGAGCCUAGGGAGAUUACUGACGCCAUAAACAAGAGUGUCAAUUUGUUAAGUCAACAACAGGAGUCACUGUGCACUUACUCCUCAUGUAGGAUCUCUGUCCUUAAUGUGCUGUACAUUGAGAUUUAAUGCUAUAACUAGUACUGAAACAGUAUUUUACACUUUAUGUUCUGUGUGGGUGCAAACUGAUAAAAUCUUUACUUAAUAUAUACUAAAUUGAUCUUCUGUAUAUAAAGAGAAUUGAAAAUGAAUCUUGAUGUGAAUGGAAUGGGAGAGGGAGCGGGAGAUGGGAGGGGUGUGGGUGGAGGGAAGUUAUGGGGGGAAAAAGCCUUUGCAAUCCAUAAACUGUACUUUGGAAAUUUUUAUUUACUAAAUAAAAGCUAAAAGAGUUGUAUUUUAAGAUAUAAAACCACUGAACAUUACAUUUACAUUUAUGUUGCUGUGUUUAAAUUUCCAAGAAAAAGUGCCUGAAAUAUUAUAUGCUAAUCUAGGGAGGAAACUGGAGAUUGGAAUUUGGGGAAAUAGAUAAAGGUAUUUAAUUUUCAUGUGCUGUUAAUAAUUUUAAGAAAUAAUACAAUAUGUGCUAAUUGUAUAAUUAAAAUAGACUUGUAAGAUGAAUGAAAAUUGGCUUGAGAACAACAUGCAUUUGAAUUUUCCCUCUAAUCCUUAUUAGCAUGUAAUUUUGAAUAAAUUAUUCUUUGUAUUUUUUUGAUUAAUAAUAUUUUGUCACGUGAAUUUUUUUAGUAUAUUCAAUUUUAUCAGUCCUUUCAAUUGAUUCCUGCUUCUUCUUACUUACUAAAUCUUUCCCUUCAUGUGAGAAAAUACAACCUUAUUUUUCUAUCAGUUUUAAAACUUUGUAUUUCAAAAUUAGGAUAAAUCUAUAUAUAAUUUUAUGUAGGUUUGAUAUAGGGGUAUGCUUUGAUUUUAUACAUAUAAAGAAUUCAUUUAUUAGAUAAUCCGUUUUCCACUGAUUUUUAAAACACCUCAAUCACAUAUCAGUAUCCCAUAUUUGGGUGGCUCUUCUGCACUUUCUCUUUUGUUGCAUUAUUUGUUAUUGUACUGAUUACUCACUUUGUUAGUCUGAUUUAACAAUACAUUGUAUCUGAUAAACAGGUCCCCCUUCUUCUUCUAAGUGAUGUUGGCUAGUUCUGAACCUUUAUUCUAGUGAUUGAAUUCUAAGACCAGCUUAUCAAACUCCAUGUAAUGCCCAUUUCAGAUUUUGUUUGAAAUUUGAACAUAUAAUGUCAGAGAAAAUGUACAUUUUAAGAUACUGGUGGUGUAUCCAUGAACAUUGUAUACUCACUCUGGCUUUUCUUUGAGUUUUUCCUUUCUUUUUUAUACUUCAGUUUAUUUGGUGUAAAUUUUUUUUGAAAUCCUUGUAUAGUUUUACCAUAAUGCACAUUUUUCAUUUACUUUUUGAAGAUCCCUGUAUAGAUUUUUUUACUUAUCUUAUUCAGUUUUAACAGAUUCAAUGUAAUUUGUAGAUAAAAUUAUGAGAACAUAAUGGUAUUCUCUUUCUCCCUCCCUUCCUCUUUACCCUUCUCUCCCUCCCAACCUCCUUCCUACUCCAAUCUCUUUUUUUUUUUAGUUUUUGAGAUAACAUCUUUUAAAUUUACAUUAUAGUAAAAAGGCUUAAUAAUUCACUAAGAAGUUUAACAAGUAAAAAGCAGAGACCCUAGUUUAGUGGGAAUACAGACAAUGGCUUGAAUGGAAAAAUGACCAUUUCAUCUGUAUACAGAGAAUCUCAAGAAACCUGACUUCACUUAACCUAACAGAAAUGCUGUGGAAAG
This is a non-coding RNA of Oryctolagus cuniculus (rabbit), 2847 nucleotides long. The record is from RefSeq and is a predicted model, not a curated record. Lineage: Eukaryota; Metazoa; Chordata; Mammalia; Lagomorpha; Leporidae.